This 13932-nucleotide small RNA is filed under the name Rattus norvegicus (Norway rat). RNAcentral's name for it is "uncharacterized LOC108351251". The record is from RNAcentral. Lineage: Eukaryota; Metazoa; Chordata; Mammalia; Rodentia; Muridae.
UUCCCGAGUGCUAGGAUUAAAGGAAUGCACUAUCAUGUCCAGCUAGUCUCAGCUCUUUAGUCUUCAGUUCUGGGCAUCUGAACGCAGGCCCUUCAGCUUGCACAACAGGCCCUUUACCAACUAAGCCAUCUCCCCAGCCCAGAGUUCUUGUGGAUAGAGGGGAAUAUCUGUUUGCCAUCAGCUAAUUGUUCCUGCUUGGGAAUGCGUCUAAAGUGACAUUGGUUCAGGACAAUGGAUGGAAGUCUUCUGUUGCCUUUUUAGAGUCUGAUCCAGAACACUGUAGAAGAUGCCAAGUAAACGCCUUGGUACUCUUUGGUCCUCUUCAGUCUUGAAGGGGAUUGAGACAGUUUAGAUAUUGCCAGUUGCUCCUCAAGUGACUGGUUAUGUCCACAUGGAGUUAAGCAAGAGUGUGACCUCAAGUAAAGGAGACAGACAUCAAAUAAAGGCAGAGAUGGCUUUUCCCCCACCUUAGUUACCUGCAGGAAUAAGCAAAGAGUCAGUGCUUUUCAGCAGAGGCAGCUCCUGAAUGCCUGUUAUGCAAUCGGAGGGAAUAGAAACAGUAUCUAAAUAUGAGGGAAGACAAAAGAUGUCACAUGACCCAGAUACCUCACUCUUAAUGCCAGGAUAAUUUUUGGAGCCCUAUUUCAGAAGGUAGAGAAGCAAAGACAGAAGACAGAUCUUUGGCUAAGUGGUUCCCAAAAGGUGUUAAGUGGGCUGCAGGGAGGGUGUCAGCAGACCCAGCCUUCCAGGGCAUUCUUUGGAAAUUCUGCCUAGCAGAGAGUCAACAGCCUUAGGACAAUAAUCCCAGUGCUUGAGGUUUUGCUGCUGUGACAGACACAGCCUCUUCACUGUCCAGCCACCAGCUACACACUGACCAUAACUACUUAGCCCUUAAAUUGUUUGUGCAACCUGAAUUUUCAUUUUCCUCUCUAAUAUGCACAAAGCUUCUUCAGAGAUCUUGCAAGACUGUUUGCCUUUGGCUUGCUAGAACAUUGUGGUGGAAUUGCAUUGAAUUGUGAGUCAAAAUCACCUUAGACUAUUUAAGCCCUUUACCUCACCUUUUGUAUUUGACCUUGUGCUAGAUAGAUUUAUGGAAAUGAGGCACCUUAGGGGACCACCUCUGGGUGCCAGCAACACUAGAGCUACAAAUGUUACAUCCGAAGCCUGAGACACUCAGCUUUCCUGUAAUCCAAAAGCAUGCACCCAUGUAACUGGUUAAUAUCUUGAUGUGACUUUUUGAUGCUGUUGUUCUAAGUCAUGUAAUCUUUUUCAUUGUGGACCAUGUCAUUGCACGGUAACCUGGAUCUCUCUUCCUCAAGUCACGAUCACUCGUACUAAGCUGGGAACAAACUUCUUCUCCUUCUCCUUCAUCUUUUCCUUUUGCCCUUAAAGUAGAAGUGUCAUCUCCCGUGGACACAUCUGACGUCUUUUAAUUUAUAAGUUAAAUAUUUCAGGGUUAGGAUGUAGCUCAGUGGUAGUCAGCUUUCAUGAGGCCCAAGGCUCUGACCCAGCGCAGAAGAGGGAAAUCGGGGGAGGAGAGAAGCAGGGGAGGAGAGGAAGGAAAGCAGGGGAGAAGAGAAACCAGCCAGCCACAGUUCCAGUGCAAGAUACAAGAUUAUUUUCCAGGUACAAAAUGUUCUCAUACCACUUCAAAAAUUACAAGGGGGAAUUGAAAGGCCUGGCUUAGGGAACAGUGAACAUCGUGGCCUGUUUUGUUUUGUUUGAGUCCCCCUCAGCAUUGUCUCUGAAGUGAAUUCUUGAGUGUUCUGGCAAGUUCUCAGACAUAACAUCAGAGAGGGCGCCUCUGGAGCAAAACACAGGUCGCUUGCCACGGAGAUGUGGGUGCCUCAAGAGCUUUGAUUUCAUCCUGAUGUCCCGCCUGACGCUGCUGUGGGAAGUCGGACAAACAGUUCUGAGAUGAAGGAAAACAGAAAGAAAAGGAAACAGACAAGCCCCAAGUAAGGAGAUGAGGAUGCAGAGUUGGGGCGAGCAGGGCGGGGCGGAGCAGCAUCCUCCGUUGCUGGCUUUUCCUGCCCAGCCCUGAGCAACCCCUCCCUGUCUCUGCGCUCAGCUAUAUUUGCCAGCUCCAUCCCUUCUUUCCUCCGGUGAAAGCCUGUAAUUACAGACACCAGGUGCGGCGGCUCUCUCGCCUCUCCGGUGACUUCGUCAGUCAGAGCUGUGAAUAGUAAUUUGCCAACCACCAUCGAAGUUUCCUUUCAAAAGCAGGAUACGCUGGGUGUCAUGUUACAUCACUCAGAAGCCUGAGACAAUAGAAGAGGAAAUAGAAUUUACCCGGGUAACAAAGGAGUCUGCAGCUCAUUUUUCUUUCGCCCUGGUUAGGGGAGGACUGAAUGCUGCCUCUAAGCGGACAGCGGCAGUCCAGAAGCAGGGAAGGAAGGGAGGGGCUCAAGGCAGAAGAAGCAUGGGCACUGGGUGCUGCCGUGCCUCGAGUCCGGUGUGUGCUAUUUGUUCCAACGCCAAACUGGAGUGAAGCAACCUCGCACAGGUUAAAAGUCUGUCAUAUUCUGGACAAGGCUGAAGAUGCUCCAAUGAGAGCAGGAGAGAAACUUUGGGGGAAACCAACCAUCUGUCCUGGAAGCUGCAGUUCCUGCAAACACAGGUAACAUUUAUUCCUUCUCAUGUCUCUAAUUGAAUUGAAAACUAGAGAGGUGUAGUCUCACAUUAAGCUUAAGUUGUUUAAGAUUUAGGAAAAUGUUUUAAGGUCUAAUAAGAUGGUUUUAGGUUGGUAAUGCAAGUUGAUUUAAGCCCAGAACUCUGAACUCACUAAGAUCAGAUAGACGAUAGAAUACUUUCUCCAAGGUUGCCAAAUAUGUAUGGACUGGACAUUGUGAAUGCAGUCUUACCUGAUAGUUUUUGUAGUUGUUAUUGCCAUUAAGUUUAUUAUUGAAAGAAAAAGCACCUUUUACUGGACAAAAAGGGGGAAAUGGAGCAUCUUUUGUUCUGCAUGGAAGCAUUACCGGUCAGUAAAAUGCUUGUUAUCCAGUGAGCUGAGCGGGGGAAUCGGAAGUGGGAAGUUCCAGUAGGAAGAGCAACUCUGGGAUAGCCAGGCCUGGGAAGAGAUUCGCCCCAAACGCUGAGGAGAAAGACACAUGAAACUGAGAACAGGUAACUAGCCACUGGCACUCACAGAGCAGAAUAAACAGGUUAAGAGCUAGUCAGAGAACAAGCCCAAGCUUAUGGUCCAAGCAAUCAUUCAUAUUUAAGUCUGAGAGUCAUUAUUUCAGACAAUCAAACUUAUGGUCAUAUUAGAUCCUAGUCUAGUUUACUACACUAAGUUUUCAAAGUUGAACAGAUAUUAAGGAGCUAGAAACAAGCAAUGGGGCAUGGGUGGAAAAAGGCCACAGUUACGGCUAACUUUUUCUCCCUGGAUGCUCAACACUGGCCCCCUCCAUCAUGAGCAUUUCCAGCAAAAGUUAGCCAUUCCACACAGCUGUAGCAUCACUGUUAUGGUAGUGCACACCAUUAAUUCUAACACUUAGGGAGGCAGAGGUAGGCAGACCUCUGAGUUCAAGGCCAGCCUGAUCUAAAUAGUUCUGGGCCAGACAGGGUUAUCUAGUGAAAAACCUUGUCUAAAACAAACAAACAAACAAACAACAACAAAACCCAUAAAUUAAAUAGCACAGAGGGGACAGACAGUAUCCUUGGCACACAGAAGACCAAUCUCUCAGGAUCUGCGCUUGUAGCAUGCCUUGAGCUCCCAUGUGAUCUGCUUUGACCAAUGAAAUGAUCCAGAAAGGGGUAUGUACCAUCAAGAGCAAAUAUCUGUAACAUUCUAGGGUUUGAGUAAGACAGGUACAUUCUGGGAAAAACCAGAUGUGUGUGGUCAGGGCAGAAGAGAGAGGAAGGUGAGCUUAGUCAGCCGCAGGAACCGAACAUUAGAGGUUUCGUAGAGGAACACAGGGAUGACUCGGGGACAGAGUACGUGUAUUAGAGGACUUUAAUCUUCUGGUCCUCUUGCUUCCCUACCCUAAGUGCUAACUAAGAUUAUGAGUGUGCCCUCAUCCCAGCCAAGAAGAAUCAAGGGAGGGUGCAGGAUUCCCUGGGUAAAAGUUUACCUUUCAAUGGGAACUUUCCAACCUAGUAUUCAUUUCAAACUGUUCUUUAAACCUUCAGGUCAUUCCAUUUUGCUGGUCAGGUACAGAUUACUGCUUUAGGGAGUGUAGUGAAAGAGGGACAGCUAUAAUUUUCUUAGAAGCUUCAACUGCUUCCAUAAUGGAACCAAGUGAUAGAUGACAACUGAGGUCACUCAUCCCUUCCUUCUGCCUCGGUCCCCGGAGGAGCUGGUAAAGCCACAGGCGGCUGAGGAGGCUAACACCAAGUGGUAACAAGAAAGCAAUCACUAUACCGUAAAGCGAAUGGAUGACUUAUGGGGCCUACUUCAGUUGCUCUUUAACUUCAGAAAGCAGCAUUUUCUCAACCUAAAACCUGUAAAACUGUAAAAAAAUUUAAACUGUAAAACAACCGUCUUCUAGCCUUUGUCAUUGUAUCUGUCUAAUCUUACGACCGUCUUCUCGCACACGUCUUUACUUCACAUGCCCUUUCUUUGCCAGCCAACAGGAAAAUGUCAACUUCAUUCAAUAACUUCAAGGUGCAGAGCACAAUCAUUUCCCCCAUGAACAACAAUUUUUAUGCCUGAACAAAUGUUUAAACAAAAAUGUUUGACAUUCAGCCCAGGAAAUCAGAAUAUAAGCAGUUUCAACAGAGCCAACCUUGUAAUCUUUAAAACCCAACACUCCAUUCUUAGCUCACUCUGGGGACUUGCUCCCCACAAGUCCCUUUGUAAAACCCCAACUGUCCCAGGUUGAAGCCUUUUGCCAAUACUAUGGUCCAGUAAGGCGCUAAAUUCGUCUGGUCUCCAAGCAAGCCUUUCUGAAGGUCAAGGUGACUGAACUGACUUUGAACAAGAACAUGAGCACAUGUAACACACUUCAAACUGGCCAGCUCUAGCGCCUACGGCUUGCAAAAGUCAAGAGCGAACACAGGGCAAAAAGACCCUAGUGGUGUGUAAGGAUGCAGAUAUGAUUCCAGAAUUCUCCCAGUUCUCAUGGAAGUCCUAACGCAGAGUGAAGUCUGAGUGUGCGUGAAUAUAAACUGAACACGAGGGACGGUGGAAGGAGGAAAAGAAUUCUGACUCUAGGCUGCAAGUAAACAUUUAAAAAGAAUGCCAAGUCCAUUUCCUUUCGGUGAGGCAAGCAAAAGCAGUCUAGUGCACCCAGGAACUGCUGAGGCUGGUUUUAUUCUAAGGAUCCCUGCAGGCAGGUGCCUGAAGAAAGGCAGAAGGGGUGGGCCUUACAUCAACUACACUGAUAUUUACUUAUUUGCCUCAUGAUGAAUUUUAAAGAACCACUUCCUAUAAGCCUGGACAAUACUGUAUCUACGAUGUUCACCCCAAAUGCCAAAAAUGUGUAGUUAUGUUUCUAAGAAAUGUUCUGGAAACUGUUAGUUUAAAAAGGUUUCCGCUGCCAGGUAGUGGUGGUACUGGGGAAGCAGAGGCAGGGAAAUCUCUAUAAGUUCGAGGACAGCUUGGUCUUCAGUGCAAGUUCCAGGACAGCCAGGGCUACACAAAGAAACUAAAAUAGUUUCGACAGUUCUUGGUAGUUAAGAGUUAAGUAAUUAAAAAGAACUAUGUCCUUAGUAUAAUAAUCAAUGAAUAUUUCAAAAAAAUAUUUUGUUAUAUAGAAUUGAAAGUACAUUCAAGACUGUUUCAUACACAGAGCAGAUACCCCGGAACGGUAUAUACACGUACAAGACACAUAAUGGGAGAAUCUCUCUGAACAACAAAAGCCACAAACUGGCAACCACCUUUUUUUAAAAUUCUACAAAAUUUUGCCAGUCAUUACCAAGACAAACAUAAUAGUAAAAUACAAAUUAAAAAAAUUUUUUUGAAGUAAUCAGAUGGCCACUGUCUAAAUUUUUCAUCAAGAAUAAAAGCUGAAUUUAAAGAAUUAUCUUCACAGAUUUUUCAAAGCCUGGACUCCCUACACUGAUACAAUACUAAGAAAAAAAAAGGAAUGUUCUACUCAUCUGUUAUGUAUUUCAAAACAGAUCUUUUAAAAAUAAUAUAGUUAUAUGAAUGGGAAAAACAAGUGACUUCUAGAUAUGGUGGAGAAAGUUAACCAUAAAUAAAAGGGAGCGCAUAGGUAGAGGCGUGGGCAGGGACAUCUGGGAGGGUCCACAGUGGACGUGACCAGGCUGAGCUGGACCGUGUGUGGGUGUGGGGAUAGGGAACCAGGUGCAGCAACUGAGAUGACGAAGGUAUUAAAGGGACAGGUAACCAAAAUGUCUGGAUUACAUAGGGAAGAGUUCCUGGUGGAAGGAAGGGCAGCCUGCUCUGGGUAGAGGGCAGGGUAUGGCAGCCAUACUCUGUAGGGCUGAAGAACGGUAGAAUGGGAGGACAGGUGCACUUGCAUGUUAAAUAGGCACCUAAGGCACUUGGGUUACCAGACUUGCCUAAGUACCUUUACCUGAUGACCCGUCUUUUUGACCCCAAAAUUAGUUAUCUUCCUAUCCUCAGCUUACUGUCGACGUAGAACUUUGCCCUCAACAGUUCACCAUCUUCUUUCCAUCAACACUGAUCGAGAGCUAAGCAGUACGUUGACUUUACAUACCACAGCAUGUAAACUUAGUACUGCCUAUUAGCAAUGCCAUCCUUGCAAAAUUGCCCAUACAUGUACCUGUACAUAGAUAUGUAUGUGUGUUUUUUUCUUUAAACCUCUCACACAUUCUAAGGGCACACAUAUAAGAUAUGGUGAGAAAUACCAACUACUGAUACUCUGGUUGUUCUAAGACAACUGAUUUCAACGAGUAUCAAACUGAAGAAUUUAAAUCACAGUCGUCAGUAGUGGUCAAAUAUUGGAAAUAACCUCUGGGAAUCACUUUGUAUGUGCCUGCAGGGAUAGCUGAGGAUGAAGUGCUUUGGUCUGAAGAUUAAAGCCUGGGCCUGAAAACUACAACCCUGGCACUGGGUGCAACUCAUUGUGUGUGGGCAGCACACAACUACAAUCAUGAAUCUCAGACCAAAAACAUCAAUCUCAGGCUCCCUCCAGGGAACCAGUGAAGCAAAAUCUUCAUCUGGCCACAUGGUGGGCUGUGGCAAACCUUCCUUCUGUAAUGCAGCUUGUGAAGGACACAAUCUUCACCCAGAGGCACAGCUGACAGCAAGCUCUGAGCUACAGAGGGCUAGCGAGCAUCUUGUAAUGCUAGACUUUUUGGUGAGCAUCGAGGAAAAGUAGCUGGCAGGUUACAGAGCUUCCUUCCAUUUAAUCAUCUGAUCAGUUUUCAAAUCUCUACUUGUGAAGACCUGACUUGAGAGUCUGUAGUCAUUUUGAGACAUGGGUGAACACAUGACAAAAUGACAGAUCAGCAGCUAUGGCCAAUUAUUAGGAGAGCCAGGCAAGCACCUCCCUUCUGAAUCCUUCCUUCCUGUAUGCACGGACACACACACACACACACACACACACACACACACACACACACACACACACACACACGGCAGGUACUACUAGCUGACAGUCCUUCCUCAGACCACUUCCAACCCUCUUACCAUUCUUCUUGUCCAAGAGCAGUAACUAUUGGCUUUUUUUAUUUCUGGAUUAUUUUCAUAACAAUAACCAGCAACCCAAACUUUGUGACUACUAAAUUAUCUUCCUAAAACUGAAAACCAUUCUAGUUCAAACUGUGACUUGGUUUAUCUGAUCAGCCAAUUCACCAAGUUCUGCUAGGGGGAAUGCCCUUGAGAUUACUCAAUAGGUAACACGCAGACUGCUCGGCUCCUCAGGACAGCACGCACGCUCCUUGCAGCGUCAAACAAUCAUAAGCGCACACGUGAUGCAGUUGCCUGUUUUAUUUCAUGGCACUGAUUUUGCAAACCAGAGAUCUCUGCUUUUCAUCUCACAUACAAUCUGUAACCAUUCACAGGCUGAAUGCAAUUUUUCAAAGAACUAGAAAACAAAAGGUACAUUCUUAAAAUUAGAACUGAGUUCACAUAUUUUCUUUGGACCAGGAAAUGGUACAUAAUACAAAAUAUACAUUUAUGGAAUAUCUUUAAAACUGUGGGUCACAUAAACUGCAAAGUGGAGAAUUCUGUUACAUAUUAUGUUUAAGAAAAAUAUUUCUGCAGUAAGAGUUUAAAAAACUGAAUUUAUAUCUAAUGCAACAUGCUUUUAACAUGUACAUUGCUCCACUCAAAACACUCAGAAAUGAAGUGAGCUGAUAAUAACCGAAACCACUCAGUGGCGAGCACCGUCGCUCCAGUGUCUUCCUGCACGUGUGCUGCCGAGUUAGUUACGGGCUAGCCAGGUAAAACAAUGAAUCCUGUUUCUACUCCCACAAACAAAUCAAGCCAGAACUGAACAUGAAAUUUUGGCAACAAAUAUAACAAUUAUUUUCCAAUGUAAUUAUGGUAUCUUCCUUAGCAAUCAUUAAUCUUCUCCACUGAUAUGAAAGACCUUGUUUUAAACAUUCCUUAUUAAGUACUUAAUUCCUCAGAUCUGAAAUUAAGUUAGUAUUUAAAGAAAGUCUUAGAACCUGAGUGAGAGCUGACAGCUAACGUAUAAUACACAAUGGAGGGUCAGCAGGGUGCCACAGCCCAACUCUAGUUCACUUUCCAUUGCUGAGUUUCGGGAGGGGCAAACCUCCAGGACUAGCCUAGUCACCACGCUUCCACCUUUACAAACACGGAUUCACAACACAGGACCCCAGGAAAACCACAUCAAACCAACUUUAAUACUGGAUUCCAGCCAGGUGCCCACCUGCCUCCCUACCAUUUUCAAAGUAAAACAAUUCCUGACAGAUUUUUAAUGCUCUUGGGAUAUCUGGAGCUUUGCUGGAGAGGAAAGGUUUUUCUGUGUAGCCUUAUGUUGUAACAGAGGGUCUUGACCGGGCCAGAAAACAUUCUUGGAGUUUUAUACAUUGUAUACAUUUUCCUAGGUACAGUCCCUCAGAUUCACAUCUUAAAGGUGUGAACCCCAAAAGUUUACGAAGCCCCUCAAGAACAAAUCUAUGCUAUUUCAGGUAUGGAUUCAAGAUCCAAUUCUGUUUUACAGCCACCCGAUCUUGUACACAAACUUACUUCAGACAGGACCAUACGGACACCAGUAUUAUUCAGAAGUCUUUCAGUCAGGACUACAUAAAAUGAACAAUUUUCCUAAACACUUAGCUUAAUGAGAAAGCAGUCAGUGGGAACUGGAAUUUGGAACAAUUAAGAGGCAAAUGGUUGGUUUGGAAGAAUAAGUAAUGAAUUUGUUUCUCAGUCUUAUGUUGACACCACCAAAGCAGAAAACAAACUGAGACGUCUCUGGCUGACUUCUGUGAUGCUCAGUUCUGAAACUCUGACAGCCAGGCCCAAAGGCGACCGCGCUAUAGAUGGUAGAGCUGUCAGUGAUCCUCCCUACCCUCACUACUCCACAUCCCAAGCUUUCUUGCUUUACGCUCAGUGUAACAGAGUAUAAAUUGGCCUUGAUGAGGUAAUACAUGGCCUUUCUUGUCCAACAGAAUAAAAUUGGCCUCUUUCUAUUUAAGAAGGGACACCGAGGAAAGGAAAUGGAGAUGGGGGUAUAGAUUUCAUAUUUCACAAAUCAUAAAAAGGAAAAUGGUCAUUUAUUACCUCAACUUAAACUACAUUUCCUCAUCUCAUAAACACAACUGUAAUUUGGAUACUAUCUGAGUUUUCAUCUUUUGGUGGGGUGGAAGAUUGAGAUAGGGUUCUUCUGCAUAGCCCUGGCUACCCUUGAGCUCAGAGACCAGAUUGCUUCUGUCUCCCAAGUGCUAGGCUUAAAGGUGUGCACCACCACUGCCUGGCUUAUUUUAUUUUUUGAUCACUUGUUAAGAGACACAAAAAUUAAUGGUUAGUUAGCAAAAGCCUGCUAUGCAGAAUUGAAAAUCUGAGUUUUUCUGGCACUCCACCACCCUGCUGCUUAAUUGGACAGGAAGAAAGCAGAAGUCAGUAACAGAAUACAGAGCAGACGAGAGGGAGGAAACUGCUGGGUUGACCAUAAAUGGAAGAUACUCAUUUGACAACAGAGCAGAGCCAAUGCCCAUCACAGGCAGAGCAUUCUAAUAACAAUACCAUUUAGCUAAACUACUGAUCAACACAACAAUAGAUACUAUACAUUUAGGAAACAUGUUCUUAAUUAUUUCAAGCUUAUUCUAAAAUACUAUAUAAUUUAAAAGAACUGCAAACCAAAACACACAACACAUUAUUGUAGGAUACAAAGUAAAACCAGGCUUCUAAAAUGAAAGGCUUUCAAACGCCUGAAAAAACUAGUUAGGAGACUAGUAAAUGUAAAAUAGUCAUCUCAUUACUUCAUUACCAGAAUAUGUGAGAAUAUAUAACGUUCUUGAAGGUCCCUCCAAAGAAAAGUCUCAAUGAGAAACACUUAUACACUAAAAUAUUUACAACUCUUCAAAACCAAAUUCCAUAUGGUAAAAUUAGUAAAGCCUAAAUUAGAGGUAAACCAUGAAACUAAAAGUUAAAGCAAAACAGUCUUUUUGGAAUCUACUUGUUAAAUUCCCUUGCUAAUUUGUCAGUAAGCGGGGGUCGCACGACCACUGUAAACACACCGAGAGCCCGACUGUUUCCUGUGAACACUGGUGCUGAGCUGGGAAGACCACAGUUUACCUAGAUCCCGCCUGGAUGCGGAAGGUGGGAGAACCUUAGCACAUCACUGCUGUGACACCAGGAGGAAACGUCAAGGUCUUUUCUUACGGAUCACUGUGUCCUCUUUAGAGAUGCUAAGACGUCUGUACUUCAGCACUGCAACUUACUCCCAAUGCUGAGCAUAAUUUUCUAUUGAUGGAAUUCGACUUUUGGGGAGAAGAAACUUAAACAAUCCCAGGAAAUGAAGAAAAUACCAACUAACUCUUCUGGGCCGUGACCUACUUUGCUGAAGAAAGCACUAGGGGCGGGAUGGAGGUGACACCAUGAUUUUCUCCACUUAUACCAAUGAUCUACUUAUAAGACAUACAGUAGAUUCUAAAUUCUGCUCAACGGUGAACUCCUUGAGAACAAGGACCUACUUUAUCUCCUUACGGUCCCGAAGGACUUAGCCUAGAACAGUGUUUUGGCAACACUUUACACUGUGGGAAGCUGAGCUUGGCAGGUUUAAUGUGCUCAAAUAUGGUCAUUGUAAGCAGCACUGUAAUUCAAACAAUUUCCAUCACAUAACUCAUUGUUCUUUAAUUUCUUUAAAAAACAUUUUUUUUUUCAAACAGGGUGUCACUUUGUAGCCCAGUUUAGUCUUAAACCUAUGAUCCUUCCGCUUCAUUCUCUCAAGUGCUAGGACCACAGGCGCAGCCCCCACUCUGGGCUUUCCCACUCCAAUUUCUAAUACUACAUGGCAGAAGAAGUUAGGCAGCAGGGACAGCUGCUUAGCUGCCUCAUCAAAUGAUGCACAGGAACUAAUGUCUGAGAAGCAUUCUGAAGACGAGAAAAGUGGAGAUGAGCCAGAUGUCUGUGGAGCCCUGGCUGUCCUGAAAUUCUCUAGAGACUAUAGGAUCACACUGGCCUGCACCGCCUCUGCCUCCAGAUGCUGGGAUUAAAGGUGUGUGCCACCACCGCCCAGCACAUAUGACCCCUUGUUAAAACAGUAAGAGACACGAAACUUUGAGCAGUAAGUUAGCAAAAGCCUGUUCUGCAGAACUGAAUUUCUCACUGACAUAAAAGUAUAUACUAUGCAUUAUGUUAGCAUCAUACGUGAACUUUUCCCCCCUCCAUAAAUAUUAAAAACAAAACAACCACCAAAGCCCCAAAGACCCUUCCAAAAUAUCUGAGGCAUGUGUGUCCUGAGAUGUUGAUUAUCAGGAAGGAGAAUGGGGGUGAAGAAUGAAGUGAUCCGUGCAGGCACAAGUGUCUCCUUCUCAAGUGUUGCUGGCUUCCACCACGCCAUUUCCCCAGGCAGUACGCAUACCUACUUUUAUGAUGCGUACCUUCUUCCUGUAGUUUUUUGCGAACUGUAUAGAGUAUAGUGCUGACUCACAUGGAAAGACUAGUCUUCUCAGGUCCUUACUUCAACCUGUGGUGCCAACACCACCAGAGGACUAUUCAGACUUCCUCUUCCAGGCAGGUACAGUGUGGAGACAGCUUUCCAUCACGGAAACGUCAGCUUCACACACUCAAGGUUUCCAGGAGGACCCUGGUCGCCUGUCAAAUCUCAGCGUCAGUUGUCAGCUCAGCAGCCAGUCUGUGCUAGAAGCACUGAUUUUCAUAAAAUGAACAUUUACAACUCUGCAAAGCCACAGCUUAGAACAUUACCAUACUCCCAACUCUACCACAGGUUUAGACAUGAAGCAUUUAUUGUAAGUUACGUUUAGAACUGGUUCUGUGUUUUGGCUGUUGUGAAUUCCUAAAUAUAAAGAGUACCUCAGAUGUUCUUCCUUAUUUAUGCUGGACUGCUGUGUCAAUGAAAUACAAUGAAGUUAGUUAUUCCCCUCAGAGCUAAGAGGGGCGGGCACUGAAGCAGCAGCUGGUACCGCAGCCACAGAAGUCUGCCACACCUCACAGUGCUUUCCCGCGUGUCCUCAACUUGACACUGUCUAUUACAAACAUGUCAUUUCCAAGUUUGAGGGGAAAAACAAAUAGAACAGAAUGUAUUAUACUAACUUUUAUACACAAAGCUGUGACUGUAUUUGACGUUGUAUUGAUUGUUUCCUAUUGGGGACCUGACUAUAACAAUCAAUCGCAUGGAGAUAAUAUGACACCACCUAGAGACGGAGAUACAGAAAGUACAGGACAGCAGUCUCUAUCAUGUGACAGACAGGAAGACUUACUCUUACAUGCUUACUUAGGGGGGUUAAGCCUAAAUUAAAUUAGGUUUAUAUCUACAAUUCCUUAAGCUUUAAAUUUAUUUUUAAAGGCCAACAGCUAAAUAUUAUCAACAUGCUAUAUUUCAAAUCACAAAUAUAUCUUAACCUCUUAGAUUCUAAAGACGUGGGUCAAUUAAAAGUUACAGGUAAACACACAUUCAACACACACACAUCUACCAUACUGUUAGACUGCCAAACGUUGACAAUCAUUUUAAUUAAUAGUAAGGUAAAUUCAAGCUGAUGCACAUCUUAAUGGUAAGUAAGCAGCCUGAAAGAAACCCAUUAAACAGAUUAGGAAACAGCAGACGCCAAUCUUCCAAUCCACCUGCACCUGGUUGGCAACACCAUCCUCCAAUAAAAGGAAACGGAACACCUUUCCCUAGGAGGAACAUCCCAUUUACCCCACAUGGGGUUUGAAAGCCGGGAUAAAAGAGGAAUUACGCAUACAUGAUUAAAUCUCUUGUUUGUUAAACCAAGCUUUAUUGAUAAAAUGGAAUUCGGAAUAUCUUACUAGGGACAGCAGCAGGCCCAGCCAAUCAUGAUAGGAACGAAAUGUGGCAGUCUCCCACUGAGUGGGAAGCUGCUGCUUGCCAAUUAGUAAUUAAAUGUAAGAACUCAUAAAGAGGUGCAGAGAAUCAAGGCAUGUUAGCCCAAAACUGGUAGAUGCUCUCAUGAAUACAGAGGGUCAGCUGUGACACUCUUGGCUACGAGGAGAGGACAUCCUACAGACAGGUGAGAAGGGGUGGCUGCACCAACAGGCCAGGCCCUCGCCAGGACACAGAGACGACAGUUCUCCAUACACCCUGAUGUAUAGCUUUGGGAAGUCUUCAUAAUCAUGUGCACAUGAGCAUCUAGCUAUGUGGCUGCUGCUGCUUUCCCUACCCCAAGUCCAGAUACAGCAUGACUAUGUCUGUUGUGCCACACAACAAGCCAAAUUUCCUUUAUCAUUGAUAGUGAUUUUAAAGCAGUUCAUAAUUAAAUAUGAGCACUUUGUACAAGGACAAUUACACUUUACAAAAAACCAAAAUCAUACAACAAAAAUUGCUGGAGUCUGAUUUACAACAUGAAUUACGGUUUGAAAUCACGCUUACAUAAGUCUCAAAUUUACAA